RNAcentral lists this long non-coding RNA (15368 nucleotides) under Lynx pardinus (Iberian lynx). The stretch from base 6824 to 6908 matches the Rfam family "tRNA". Lineage: Eukaryota; Metazoa; Chordata; Mammalia; Carnivora; Felidae. The record is from RNAcentral.
CCAGUCCCCUGGACCCAGUGCGGCUGCGGUGGCAGUCACGCUGGAGCCUGCUGAUGUGACAAAAGGAAAACAAAGGCGCUGAGAUGGACGCUGACGGCCACCGGUAAGUGGCUGAGGAUCCGGUUAGAUAAGGAACGGGAAGGGAAAGGGAAGAAGCUUGUAGAAAUCGGCGAGCCCACGGUGUGAUUGGUUCUUGGGUCCUCCGAGAGCUGGGCUGGAACCAGGUCGGUCAGUCACUGCAGUUGUUUUCGGACAGCACUGACCACUCUCCUAAGACACUGCCUUCCGUGGAAGGCAGAGAAUCUUCUUUCGUGGGUCGUGCACCUGUGAGUAAUGGGCUCUUUUUGAAACGUGCCUUUGGGGCUGGCAGCCUGCGGGUUUGGUGGGGGGGGGGGGGAGAGACGCCAGCCGGCUGCGUUACUAGAGAGAUCCACGGUGGUCCCCGUGCUCAGACCACCCGGCUUUGUCAUUUUAAUUUCCAUCCUGGGCUUGCAGUGUUUGGUCACAAUGGGUCCUUUGCUGUAAAACGGGGUGUGGGGGUCAAGAGCCCUGUUGAAUACCAAGUGGGAUUCUCAGAGCGGCUUCUGGUGGAAUUUACACUGGCUGUCCUCAUUUUAAACAGCACGCCCUUGCGUGAUUCCACAUAUUAUCCUUACCUUACAUAACGGGAUUUGAAAAUCCUGCUUUUACCGAGCAGCAUUUUACCAAGUCAUUCCAUUUUCUUCCAGCGAGUGAUCGUCGCAUUCUUAGAAAGAGUAUCCCAGUUUUAACAAGGAGGAGACCUCUCCGUCUUGUUCUUUCUCUUGAAACAAGGUUAAUAACCUCAGGACAGACCGCCGGAUUGGUUUCUAACAUGCCACUGGUCCGGGCUUUCGUUUCAUCCUGCUCUGUGUAAGUGGAAGGCAAAAGCAGGUUCGUUCCACGCGUUUCCCCGGCACGAACCGCCCUCGAGUUCCAUGCAAGGGCAGCUCUUUAUUUCUCCUCCAAAGCAGAGAAGAGUAAUCGACACUUAAUCCCAUUGUAUUUGUCACGUGGGAAGUAAAUCUCCUAUAUUGGUUUUUUUUUUAAGCUGCCCAUUGAUAACCAGGUAUGCACCAGGUCAGUAUGUGACCAUGGUGCCCCGGUGGUUUUGCUUAUGACUGACCAGCCUCCUUUCCCUAACCCUGCCACAAAGUCUUACUCAUCCUUUCUGGCUGUUUGGCUGGCCGAUUUCCCCCCUUCUUGUCUCUGGCGUUCGAGGCUCCUUCAGUCUCCCUUUCAAACACGCCAAGCCACAUGUACCACGUUCCCGUCUUUCCCUCGUGCCUUGCUUGGUUUCUGAGAUUGUUUCCAUGAUGAAGAUGGUGUUUUCUAUGCUUCCCAUGAUGAGAGGAAAAGCCCAGUCACGCUCUUUGAAAGACCAAAAGGUUCCCUUCCAUCGGAAGCAUCUGGUGUAUUGUUGUUUAUGCUGGAUUGGUUCUCAGGAGCUUCAGGUAUUUAUCUCAGCCACGCUUCGUUGUAGCUCUGAUCGCCGAAAACUCACUUAACUUCUGUGGGUCUCAGUACCUUCCUAUAUUAGAGAUGUGGGCCGUUGUUUUUCACACAACUGUCCCCGGGUUCGAAUGAGGUCAUGCACAUGAGGGCAUCAGCACCGAACGUGCACCGUAUUGUUGUUUAGCGGGAGUUCUGACUUUUCCCAUUCGGUCUACCCACCUUCCUAUUCCCCGAUCCGUGGGGAAGCAGGCUACCGUGGUUUCUCAUAGCACUUCCUUAAAGGAAGGGACUCUGAAAUGAUCUUUUGAUCAAGUGCAUCUUGAUCAGCUCUAAGUAGAUAUAAGAAACAUACCCGGUACUUGCUUAGGAUCUCUUGCCUGUAAGCCUAAUGGUGACGUUUCCACGCUGCCACAAGAGUGUUCAUUGGAGGAGGGAAGGCCAAGUGUCUUUGCACAGCUCCUGUUAAAGCCUUGACGAUGGCAGAGGUGAUGAUGAUAUUGACUGUCCAAGUGAGGACCGCUAGAUGGGACUGAUGCGAGCAGUGCCGAAUUGGAAACCAGAACAGAUCCCGUUGCUCUUCUGACCUUGGACAACCCGAGCAGCAGUUUGCUUUUUGUAUUGCCAGCCUGUCGCUAGUUUAGUUUCUGUUCGUAUGUGCUUUUCUCCUUCCUCCUUGCCACCUUUUCUUUCCUUAAACUCUACGCGUCGCGCAUCGCGUCUGACGUUAGAGCCUAGGACGGAGCCACUGUGGUGGUGAACUGGGAAGUACUGGCGGGAAUCGAGGGGUGUGGUGCUAGCUCCGAGGCCUUGGUUUCUCUUUGCGCUAACCGGAAAGUCAUUUGACUUCACCUCUGCGAUCAGAGGCACGACGUAGAUACCCUUUAAGUUUCCUUCAAGUCCUGGGUGCACAAUUAAUACACCCUGUCUUUGGGGUACUCUUGGUGUAUAACAGUUACUUGAUCAAGUCACGUGCUUUCACCUCCAUUGUCCGUUGUCCUCGACACAAUAGCCUCGAGGAAGAGCCGGCCUGUUUUGCCGAUGAUAAAACGUAAGACCAAGGGAGAAGAGAGCCCCAACGAUUUCUCAUCUGUGAAAAGGGGAGGUCGACCAGGUGGUAUCCAAGUUGACUUUUCUCGCUAGACGUCAGUGAGUCCUUAGCCUGCAAACGCUGAGCUCUGGCCCCUGUACCCCCGUGUCCCCUCUCACAGCACUUAGAGCUUACAGUGGCCUGAAAUCCAAUGCACACCGGUUCUCGCUUUUGUAAGGGGGCAUCGAUGGUCUGGUUACAGUGACAUCGUGUCCAAAGAUUUGAUUUAAAUAUUCUGCUCCGGGUUAGAAAAUUAGAAAAUGAGGGCAAUCUAAUCCCCAUUUUCCUUUUCAUGUGUCCUGAAACUACAACACAUUAAAAUAAGUCAAAGACCCAAAUAAUGUUGUGGGUGAUCACUUACACUUCAUAGAUCUCCUUGUUUCAUCUAAGUACCAAGUGCUAGAGAGCCGCAUGUAUUUGCAUUUUUCAGGUAUCUAGAAUUUGUGCACGACUUUACUUCUAGCAGUGAAGGCUUAGCUCUUUCUCCUUGUUUUUAAUGCAGUGAUCAAUUUAAUCAUUAAGAAAUGAUUAGGGUCAUUAUUAAUUCUUAGGACCAUUAAUAAAUGACUAAUAGGGUCACCGGAUCCGUUACAGGAAAUAUGGCCUAAGGUAAACAUACACUAAAAAAUUGCUUGUUGUUUAUUUGAAAUUCAAACUUAACUAGGCACAUUUCUAUUUGCUAAAUCUAGGAACCCUAGAUAAACAGAACCUUAACUGAUAAAUUAGAGAGUCAUUUACUUUGAGCAUAAAGAUAUUAAUGAAAGCUUAAAACAUACAUUAAAUCCAACCUUUAUCAGUUUCUCAUAAUAUGCAAGCGUCUCACUAGUUUUGUUUAUUAAUGCUUUUGUUUAUUAAAUGUGUAAUAAGUGACCAUUCUAAGAAAAUCCUGAUCCUGAAAACCGUAUUAUGUCCAACUCACCUCAUAUUCCCCAGAGGCCUUGCUACUGAAUGGAAAAAAAAAUACCCAAGAUUUUAAAUAUAUUUAUUUGGAGUCAAACUUGGCUUUGCAAACUGACUCUGCAUCAUACUAGACCUGAUACUUCACCUCUUGGAAUCUCAGUUUCCUCCUUCUUUUUUUUUGUUUUUUAAAUGUUUAUUUAUUUUUUGAGAGAGAGAGAGAGAGAGAGAGAGAGAGAGACAGAGUGUGAGCAGGGGAGGGGCAGAGAGAGAGGGAGACACAGAGUCCGAAGCAGGCUCCAGGCUCUGAGCUGUCAGCACAGAGCCCCACGCGGGGCUCGAACCCACAGACCGUGAGAUCAUGACCUGAGCUACUCGGGCGUGCCUCAGUUUCCUCCUCCUUAAGUGGCACUGAUAAUAGGCUAACAAUCACCACCUCAGAGGUCAGAUGACAGGUGAGUAAAGCCUCUGGUGUGGAUUUCCAUGGCAAGCUCCCUUUGUUUUUUUAAGGGAAUGAAUGAAUAUUCUUUUUCCCUGCAAAAAACCCAGAUGAUAAUAUUAGUCAGAUAAUAUGAAAUGAGAUGUAUUUUAAUCAUACAGUCUAUUUUUCAUGCAUUAUUUUUUAAAAGCUUUAUGGAGAUCUAAUUCCCAUGCCAUAUAAUUCGUCUAUAUGGUCUCUUAUUUUGGGGUGAAACGUUAUCUUUGAUAACAUUGAUCCAAAGAUAAACCCAAGACUCUGAGGAGGUCCCGUUCCAGUACCAGCCCUCCCCAGACUCCUGCCUCAGACAAUCUGCUCCAUUAGUUGACAAGACUGAAAACAGAGGCUCCUCAAUUCGAUCCAAGAUACGCUAUAAAAGUACGUGUAUUUUUAUUAGCUGGAAAUUGGCCAAAGUGACUAAAUUAUUCAAUCUCUGUUGAAUGCCUUACGUAUCCAUGGCCCCAGAUCUCACUGAGUGAGAGAGUCAACGACGAAGAAAACACUCUUGAGGCGUGUUCAGCAAAGUAGGGGAGGAAGAUUUGUGUAACACAGAGGAGAUUCGGAAUCUGAGGGAGUAGCUCAUAGUUUUUUCUUAUUCCAUUUGAAAUACAGUAUCUUUUCGGUUAUGCAUUGUACACGGACAUCUUCAAUUACGCACACAUGCACACAACCAACCAGUUACUUAUCGCCCACCUUUCACUUUGCUUUUGGUGCUCCACAAAGUGCAUUUACGGACACCUUCAAUCACAGGGAUGUGCGUUUGAGGUCAGAUGAUGACUAGUGACCGUGGCCUUUUCUGCAACAGAUCGUGCCGAUACAAUCCUGUCAUUAGCGACACUCAAAAGAGUUGCUACGUCUUAAAAUCUUAAGUUUGCUCCAUUCACGAACAGGGCGAAUGAAUCUGAUUUCUCCAUUUUGCAAAGAUGCCAUUUUAAAGUCUCUGUUGACUCCUGUUUUGUUCUGACAUUAAGGAGGGCCAGGCAAUUAUUCCGAGGGCAGUGCCAGUCGAGGCUUUCUGCGGGCCCGAAGUCUGUCUGCGGCUGGCUCCCCGUUCUCGUGACGUGAGGGACUCUCAAGGGUGAAUUUUCACCGCAUGCCGGAGGAUUUCGCUACCAGUGGCUUUGGUCAGACGCGAUACACAGUAAUGUGGGUUGUUAGUUCCCAGUUUUAGAUGAACGUGGAUGCCGUUCUCAGGAGGUCACCACGGGCAGCUCUGACCCUGUUGUUUGCUGUAGGUGGGUUGAAGGACCGUUUCCGGGGAAGCCAACGUUAUUCUGAUAAGUAAAGCUGCAGAGCGCGAUGCCUGUGAAUAUGGCAGCACGGCCAACGGUGGAAAGGGAGAGAGGUCACCCGAGAUGUCCUCGCUUCCUCGGGGCCACAGGCCACUUCCUCUCCCUCCAUGAAGAGGGGCUUUUACUAGUUCCGAGCCCAUGUGGUUCUGUAUUUAACGGACACGCUAAGCCAAAGAGAAGGGACAUCAUCCUGGGGAUGAAGUCCAAGGGGUAGGUCCUGUUGAUAUUUCUAUCUCGUUCCCUGCAGGAAAGACCUUUCUUUUCAUUCCCACGGGUGGCAGCUGGGUGUCUGUGUUCUAGCUCCUGGGAAGUCUGUUCCGUCCUCUUGCUUUCUGGCGAAGUCUACCUUAGAAAUCCCCUCGUCUUCCCUCGCUCCUCCCCGCCUACCCACCAAAGGACGGCUUUGGGCCGAGGGGACGUCACCACUUGUCUCCACCGGGGCCAUGAUUGCGCCCCCGAGUCUCUGGGCCGUUUCUGCUUCGCGCAGAGCAACUCGAAGGGAGCUUCACCUCCGUGAGUUAGCGGGGCCGGCACGUGUCUUUCCUCCUCCUUGAAGGAGACCGUAGAUGGUGCCAAAUUCACCCGCUGCGGGGAAAACCCUGAUUGCCAGAACAGGGUAUUUUUUUUUUUUUAAUUUUUUUUUUUUCAACGUUUAUUUAUUUUUGGGACAGAGAGAGACAGAGCAUGAACGGGGGAGGGGCAGAGAGAGAGGGAAACACAGAAUCGGAAGCAGGCUCCAGGCUCUGAGCCAUCAGCCCAGAGCCCGACGCGGGGCUCGAACUCGCGGAUCGCGAGAUCGUGACCUGGCUGAAGUCGGACGCUUAACCGACUGCGCCACCCAGGCGCCCCCAGAACAGGGUAUUUUUGCCGGGAAGGCGGAGAGGUCACUGAAUGGCAUGCCGUGCCUCUCUCAGCCGUGGGCAGCGGCCUCGGCUUUCAGAGCCAGACGAACGGAUUCCACAGCUGGCGGGAUGGAUGUCCAAAUCCCCGUUCCCAAGUAGCAAGUUCAGAGAGCCAACUGUUCGGGCCCAACGCCCGGGACGAGGGCCUGAGUCAGGCGGCAGAGGGUAUCAUGCGUGCGUUUCCUGGCCCCGCACGUGUCAGAGAAUAUUACACGAACAUGAAGAGGGACAUCCAAGAUUGGCAAACGUCAUCUGCAGUCUGUUGAGUACUUUUAGACAUAGUUCCGGGUGGUCUCUCUGAUGACCCUGCACAGGGAGGGGGCAGGCCAGAUGAGGCGCAGAGAGAUGACGAGAUUCUCCAGCCUCGGCCUUCCUCCUGCGCUCCUAACCCCCCCACCCCGGACUUGAUGUGAUGGAAGCGGCUUUCUUUCCUUUGGGGGAAGAAGCAAUGGGAGAGAAGGAAAUCAUAUUUGAGAACAGAUGUUGUGUUCGGUGAAUAAGGUAAGAGCUAGAAGUCGAAGAUCCCGUGUUUGAGUCCCAGGGUCGGAUGUCGCUUGACUUUCUGUGCACCAAUUUCCUUACGUGUGAAACAGAAUUAACAAUUUUCUACCGAAUUACCAGGCUGUUAUGAAACUGCAAAAAGAUAAUAUCUAUGGAGUCACUUCAAUGAAUUAAAGAUACUUUAUCUUGGGGCGUCUGGGUGGCUCAGUCAGUUAAGCCCCUGACUUCAGCUCAGGUCAUGAUCUCGCGGUCUGUGGGUUCGAGCCCCGCAUCGGGCUCCGUGCAGACGGCUCGGAGCCUGAAGCCUGCUUCGGAUUCUGUGUCUCCCUCUCUCUCUGCCCCUCCCCUGCUCACACUCUGUCUCUGUCUCUCUCUGAAAAGUAAAUAAACAUAAAAAAAAUUUAAAAAAAGAUACUUUAUCUUUGCAAGACACUCCUACUACACUGCAUUAUAAUUUUACUAUCAAUAACAUUUCAACGGCACACAAAAUGUAGGAUAUACUGAUUUUCUUGGCUAUGCUAAUGAGCUACGUUAACACAACAUUAUGAAAGCAGUAAAAAACACCAGAGUUAACACUUCAUAGUUAAUUUGGUCGUCCUGAAAAGCUGUCUUAAAUUGCAUUGGACUGCUGUUCAUUCACGGCUGAUGCCAUAAAAAAGGCUUCUGUCUUCUGUGUGAUGUCAUUGUUAAGGAUUUGUAGAAGUAAAUGGAGCACUCAAAAAUGGAUGCAUUAUCAGGUGAAGAUUUAUAGGCAAGAGAAGCGUUAAACAUGGAAGUAUAAAAAUCCCACGUAAUGUUACCAUCAGUAAGGCACAAAAAGCAUCUGAGUUUAAAAUAAUGAACAUGAAAUAGAACUAAAUACAUAAUCACAAGCAGAGAUGUGUUCCUAUAUAGGCUUAUUUAAAACGUGAAAUUAUCGGGGCGCCUGGGUGGCUCAGUUGGUUGAGCAUCUGGACUACAGCUUAGGUCAUGAUCUCGAGGUUCGUGAGUUCGAGCCCCACAUCGGGCUCCGUGCUGACAGCUCAGAGCCCGGAGCCUGCUUCGGAUUCUGUGUCUCCCUCUCUCUCUGCCCCUCCCCUGCUCAUGCUCUGUCUCUCUCUCUCAAAAAUAAAUACACAUUAAAAAAAUUUUUUUUACAAUGUGAAAUUAUCACACACCAAGAAAUAGAUGUUUGUUGACUUGAGUAAAGGUGUGUGUGUGUGUGUGUGUGUGUGUGUGCGCGCCAUCAUGAGUUGGGAAUAAAAAAGACAUUUUAAUGUUUCCUUUGCCUAUAUAUUUUGAUCUUGGAUUAGUACAAAAUAAUCAUGAGAAUAAAGAGAAGAAUACACAAUAAGUGCUUUGUGAAUGUUGGUGAGCUGCAGACAUUUCGAUAUCAUUAUAUGGGAAGCAGUUGGGUUUAUCGGAGAAGCUCUUGAACGAAGGGGCUAGAGCUGGUGUUAGGGCUCUGUCACCUCCUCGGUGUGACCUUUGUAGUGCCCUCGUGGCCCACGGGACCCUGUGAUGGCAGGCGCAGUGUCUCCCCUUCUAACCCUGCCCCUGCAGAGCUACAUUUCGCGAAGAUUAACGCCUUCGCAAACAAACGUUUUCAUAUUUAUAAACUCACAUGGACAACAUCUGCCAUAGACUGGCCCUGGGGACGUGUGUCACCUCGUUCCCUUCUAUAUCCCCUUGUGGCGUGGGCACAUGCCUUAACGUGUUUUGAGCUUUGGUCCCUUAACCUGUAAAAUGCGGAAACCAGCUGGUCUCCCUCUUUCCUCAAGUAGGCUUGAGGAUUGCGUGAAACCACGGAUGCGAUUGUAUGGGACUACACGGGUAAGGUGCUGUCGUUUAAACGCCACAUGCAGAAUUUCAUAUUAAUUCAGAAGGGCUCAUGGGCACCACGUGGAUCUUCACAACUCUGAGGAAAACUUUGGAAUGCUUGGGGAGCAGGUUCUCACAGAGCGUUUCACAACGUGGAGGCCACAUGCCCUGGUCACGGAGGGAAUGGUCGGUGUUGGGGAAAUGAGGAGAUGUGAUGUGACUCAAAUAGGCAUCAAAAAAAAUGAGAUUAUUCAGUGAGGAUAUGACCCCUUUUGCAAGUUCCUUCUCUCCUUGCCUCCCCUCCCUCUUCUUUUCUUCCUCUCCUUCCUUCUUCCUGUAAAAACCUUAUUACGUAGACUCUAUUUUUCCAUCAGAACCUCAUUCUUAAUUAACAGCUGUUCUAGAAAUAAAUGGAAGAUAUUAAAGACUGUCUUAAGCAAAGAUGUCAUUAUAUGCCCUCCGUCAUGUUAUAAACCUAUUUUUAAUAUUAUCCCCUGCACAAGACACAAUUUAUAGUACAAGUUUAAUUUUUAUUUAUUUAUUUAUUUAUUUAUUUAUUUAUUUAUUUAUUUAUUUAUUUAUUUUAAAUUAAUGUUUACUUUUGAGAAAGAGAGAGCGAGCAGGGGAGGGGCAGAGAUAGAGAGAAGGAGACACAGAAUCCGAAGCAGGCUCCAGGGUCCAAGCUGUCAGCACAGAGCCUGAUGCGGGGCUCGAACCCACGAACCACGAGAUCGUGACAUGAGCAGAAGUCGUACGCCCAACCGACUGAGCCACCCCAGGUGCCCCAUAAUUUUUAUUAUUUUUUAAAUGAAAAUACUAUGCAUAUGAAAGAGUAUAUAUAAAUUAGAGAAUUUUGCAUACUUUUUGGGGGGCUGUUUCUUUUUUAUUUUCAAGAGUUCUUUAUUCUGGACACAAAACUGACAAUUAUCUGUGUGGCAAAUGUGUUCUCCUGAUUUUUGUAGCUUACCUUAGGUGAACAGAAGUUCUUAGUUUUAAUAUGGCUUGACCGUAACAAUCUUUUGUCUUACGAUCCGUGGCUUCUAUUUGUUCUUUGGAGAAUUCUUUACUCUGAAGUCAUUAAGAUAUUGUGUUCUAUUUCUUUCUAAAAAGCUUAAGGUUUGAUCUUCUCGCUCAUGAGAGUUUGUGUUGGUAUUUGUGCACAGUGGGAGGUACAGAUACAUUUUGUUUCCACGUAGACAACCGCUUGUCCCAGUAACGUUUUCCAAAUGGUCCGCUUUCUCCACCGAGUUCUACAAACACCUCUGUCAUGUAUCAAGUUUCCAUGAAUGCAGGGUCCUGUUGCUAAGCUUUUUAUUCUGAUUGUUCCUGUGUGAAUGCCAUACCAACUUAGUUAUAAUAGUUUUACAUUAAGAUGCAACAUCUAGAAAAGCUUUCUGAAGGAGUCUUUUUAAAAAAAUUCUUGUCCCUUUGUUCUUCCCUAAAACUCUGAGAAUCAGCUUGUCAAGUUUUAUUUUAAAAACUUACUGGGAUUUUAAUGGGAAUUCCUCUGAAUGAAAAGAUCAAUUUGAGGAGAGCUGACAUGGCAUUACAUGCAUUAUCUCCAUUUUUAAAAGGGGCUCUUUAAUGUUUUUUUGUUCAAGUUGACAGAUUUUCUUCCUAGAAGUUUUAUACAAGUUCUUUCGUUGUAACUAUUCCAAGGUAACUCCUCCCCCCCCCCCGCCACGGGCUAUUAUAAAUGGCUAUCGUUUAAAAGAACACCUUAAAAAAAUCCACAAACUCUUGUUGGUAUGUAGAAGGCAGUUGAACUUAUCAAUAAUCUUGAUUCACUCUACUAUUAAUUUUGGUAAUUUGCCUAAAUUUCUUUUUUUAAUAUUCCAUCUGUGAAUAGUGACAGCUUUGCUUCCUCUCUUGCUCCCCUCGUUCCUCAUUCUUCUCCCCCCUUUUCUGUCUUUCACUGGCUGGCACCUCCCGUAAAAUGGGGAAUAGAAAUUAAGACAGGAGGGUAUGUUUGCCCUUUAAUGAAGUGCUCACCUACUUCUCAUUGACCUAAAGUUUUUUGUUUUCUUUCCUUUUAAUUUUUUUUUUUUGGUUAUUAAUGGAUACUGAAUUUUAUUCUCUGAUCAGCUUAAUCAUAAGGUAUUAUGCUUAUUACACACUGCUGGACUCAACUUGCUAAUAGGUAUUUCAAAUUUUUGCAUGAGUGAGAUUGGCCAUUACUUUUUCUUUUUCAUAAUUGUCCCGGUUUGGUGUAGAUCAUUUAAUUUGCGGAUAUUAUCAGCUUCAUGAAAUUACUUGGACAUAUUGUCUGUUUUCAUGUUCUCUGGUAGAAUCUAUAAGAUAUUAGAGUUAAUCUGUUUAUCGAACAUUUGGUACGGCUCACCAGUGAAACUGUCCAGCCUCAUGUGUUCUCUGUGAAAAGAUUUUAAAUAUCAGUGAUUGAAUCUAUUUCCUGGAUUGACUUAGUUCUUGAAUUCGUUUUGGUACUUUAUAUUCUUCCAGGAAUUUGUCCAUUUUCAAAAUUUAAAAAUUCAUUACCCAAAAGGUUGUAUCAUCUCUUAUCUUUUUAAUCUCUGAUGCAUCUCAUGUUUCAUUCCCAGCACUACCUUUGUGUGAAUGACUUUGCUUUUAUCUUGAUCAGACUUGCCCCAAGUUUGCCAGUGUGUCUUUUAAAAAAACUCACUUUUGGGGCGCCUGGGUGGCGCAGUCGGUUAAGCGUCCGACUUCAGCCAGGUCACGAUCUCGCGGUCCGGGAGUUCGAGCCCCGCGUCAGGCUCUGGGCUGAUGGCUCGGAGCCUGGAGCCUGUUUCCGAUUCUGUGUCUCCCUCUCUCUCUGCCCCUCCCCCGUUCAUGCUCUGUCUCUCUCUGUCCCAAAAAUAAAUAAACGUUGAAAAAAAAAAUUAAAAAAAAACAAACUCACUUUUGUCUUUGCUGAUAUUUUCUUCUGUGUCUUUGUUUUCCACUUCAUUAGUUCUGCUCUCAUCAUUAUUUCCUGUUUUCUUUGGGUUUGUCCCAUUACCUUUUUCUAAGUUCUUGAAGUGGAUACUUAAUUUUCAGUCUUUCUUCUUUCUAAAUGAAAUCAUUAAAGGCUCUAAAUGUCCCCAUCCAUUUACUAACCCCCUUUUUAAUGAAGAGAGACCAACCAGAAUUUAGAAAGAUUCCUUUUGUUUUGUAUUCAUCUUAUUUAUCUUUAGAGUUGCCCUCUAUUUGUGGCACGUAGGACUGGGUUUCCAUGUAUGUUGUGAAUAGAGAGUUUCCUUUCAUAAUACAUUUAUGUAAGCACAGAGUAACUUUAAAAAUUCUUAAGUAAGUGACAAAUAGAUGGUACCCAAUUAGGCCACAGAUCCUCAAAUAUGAAAAAAAAACAUAAGGGUGACUCAUCAGUGACUACAGUUCGGGCAACUGGUGUUUCCAGGUAACACGCUGUCUUCUCUCAUCAAUAUGCGUAUACAAUUGUUAUAUCAUCGGGGGGUAAUUUCUUUCUAAAUUUUUUAAAAAAAAUUUAAAAUUUAAGUGUAGUUGACAUACAAUGUUACAUUAGUUUUGGGUGUAGAGCAUAGCGAUUCAACAAGUUUAUACAUUCUGCUCUGUCCACCAAAAAGUAGCUCCCCCCGUCAUCAUACAAUACUAUUACAGUAUCAUUGACCAUAUUGCCUAUGUUAUGCCUUUUCAUAGGGGGUAAGUUCUGAACAAUUGGAGAAAAAAGACAAGUCCUGGGGAGAUGCACACGUACCAAUGUUCCAGUGUCCAAAAAGGAACAAUAGUUGUUAGAAUUCUAACUUGUAGGCUAGAUGUUAAUUAUAGAAGUCAUAUUAAAAUUUAUUGCAUUGAAAGAGAAUUAAGGGGCUGUUAGACAAGGGCACGGUUAUCCCUGGGACCCAGCAUGGGUUCAUCAAGAACACGUCAGGUCGAUGUCCCCUUUGACAACAUUUUUAGACUGGCAGCACCGUGGAGGGGUCAGCAGAAAGACUGUACCUUGGCCUUGGUGAUACACUAGGCAAAGCUGUUGUAUCUUGCUAAUAUUGAUAGCUUGAUGUGCUCGAUGAUGGGACUUUCAUUAGGGCUCAGAGUUGUGUAGUAAAAACUAUUCAGAGAUCGUUUUUGUUUUGUUUUUUUUUUGUCAUCAACGUAUCAUUGUCCCUCUGGAGGAACGUUCUAAUAAUUUGCCACAGGGUUCUCCUACGUUGUAUUUGCAAUUUUGCAAAACAUGCCAGGUGAUAUAAAGCUAAUUAAAAUUGCAAAUCUCAGAAUAUGUUUUUCAAAAGAUAUUGACAAACUGGAUUAGAGCUGGAAACUCCUUCAGUGAGGCUAAUAAGCAUGAACUUGCAGUGUUACACUUAAGUCAAUACUUCUGUUUUUCUCUAACGCUCCCACAGAGGCAGAACACGAUGAGCACAUAAAACGUGAGGCUGAAGGCCUCUAUUUGAGUAUAAGUGAUUCCAGAUUUCCCUUGGAAUUUCAUAUUUUAUCAUAAACAUUUAUAUAAAACCUGUGUCUGUUCUACAAUACAUUUAUAUUUUAUGUUUAUAUUUAACAUGAUAUUUUAAUUGACAAAAUCUUUUUUUUAUUUUUUUUAUUAAAAAAAAUUUUUUUAACGUUUAUUUAUUUUUGAGACAGAGAGAGAGACAGAGACAGAGAAUGAACAGGGGAUGAGCAGAGAGAGAGGGAGACACAGAAACGGAAGCAGGCUCCAGGCUCUGAGCCAUCAGCCCAGAGCCCAACGCCGGGCUCGAACUCACGGACCGCGAGAUCACGAGAUCGCGAGAUCGCGAGAUCGCGAGAUCGUGACCUGAGCUGAAGUCGGACGCUUAACCGACUGAGCCACCCAGGUGCCCCGACAAAACAGUUUUUAGUCAGAAGACAUAUCUGGAUUAAUUCCUAUGCUCAGAAUUGUUAUAAGUUAAAUCAUAGAACGAAUCGUAGAAUUUCACAGGUGUUAAUAAGUUACAACACUUACUCCAGCUCCUUGUUUUACAGGUAAAGAAACUGAUUCUAAUCUUCCACUUUAUUACACAUAACUUCUCUUAGACUGAACAUUUCAAAUUGAAGAGUCUAAUUUCUGAAAUCCAUUGUCAUACAAAAGGGUUUCAUCUUCUUGUUAUGUAAUUUCCUUUUUUUUUUCUUUUUUGGAGAGAGAGAGAAAGAGGAAGAGAGAGAGAGAGAGAAUGCACAGGGAUGAGGGGCAGAGAGAGAGAGGGAGAGAAUCCCAAGCAGGUUCCAUGCUCAGUGUGGAGUCCGAUGCAGGGCUCAGUCUCACGACCCUGAGAUCACGACCUGAGCCGAAAUUAAGAGUUGGACACUCAACCGACUGAGUCACCCAGGCGCCCUAUAAAUUCUUAAUUUAAUUUUAAUUCUUUAAUUAAAAAUUUAAAUGCAAAAUUUCUCUAAUUCUUGACACACGACAUUCAAAUUUCAUUAUACACGUUUUUAUAUGAAAGCGUCAUUAAGAUUUGGUUUGGUUUGUUUCAAUUAAUCUCACUCAUGAUGCCUGGUAAUAUUUUUAUUAUAACAAGUUAUUGGGGAAGUGUUUUCGGGAAAUAGUUUACAGUGAGUUUUGAGUUCUUUGGUUUUCAUGAAGUCAAGAAUCUAUAGUAUUAUAAGCAUAGCUUAGAUUACUCUCUCUAAAUGACUUUUGUCCACAAUGAAAUAUUGUCGGCUAACAAAAAGUAGAAUAGGAGUCCAGGAGCUGUUUUUCCAGUUUCUGGUUUAUCAGUUCCUGGUUGAGUGAGCUUGAACACAGUUACUUACCUUUCUGCAUUCAAGUUUCAUUAACAUAUUAAACAUCUUAGCAAUUCUACCUCUCUUCUGUCUGCUCCAAAGAACUGUUGAAGUGUGGUACUGUCUAAAAUUAUCAAUCAUUUAUACUCAAGAGAGUUGUAUGAACGGGUAGAAAAUUCAGUCUCAUGUGUCCCUCUGGCUUAUCACCGUUGUCAAAGUUAGUCAUUUUUUUUUUUCUAGUUUGUUUCCUUAAGACGUUAGACUGCUGGCAGGUACUAGUGGUUAUUGAGACUAUACUAGAAAGAAAGGCUUUCUGAAAGACACAUUUUCUUUUCUCUUUCUGAUGUAGAUGUUUUACUUUCAAACGUGAGUUGUGUUAUAUGUAAAGUCGCAGCUUUGGAUUUAAUGGUACUGUGCCCGGCAAAAGGUACAUUAUGUGAAGCACAUAUUUCACUUGAAAGAAGCCAGAGAAAUAGAGAAAUGAGAAGAAAUGCAUAGGGAGUGAGAACAGGAAACUAAAUUAAGUAGGUUUUUUUUCUUAAAUUUACCGAGGCCGCCAUGUGCGUCUGUUGGUUGUGAGGGAGGGAUAAAUGCCAUGCUGUUUGGCAGGGCCACAGAGCAACCAGCAGUUUAUAAUUAGAAAGUCGCUGGAAAUAAGAACCGUGGCUGUCUUCCAUGAGGAAUUACAUUUUUAGUGCAUUUACUCCGCGUACUUUUCCUUACUCCUUCCUUUAACCUUCCUUGAUUUUUCUCUCAGGGUCCAAAAGUGACGUGGAAAAGCAGGUAUCAUCACCAGAGCAAGAAGAAAGGCUCUCGCCCGUGAGCAUUUCACAUCUGCUGAGAUGAGGGGGAGGAACACCGAGCCCCAAAGCUUCUGUGACAUUUUUCCUCACCACCUUCGUGAAGAAAAUACAGAAGAUUCUCAGAUGAAAGUAGCUCAUUUGUGCUGUGGGGAAUAGCCAAAAACCAUUGCCCAACCAGUACUGUUUUACCUGAAGAACUUCUGUGGGUUGCUCGAUCAGGCGCAUAACCCAACGAAGCAACCACUUUCAGCUUUCAGUCUGGAGAGCUACACGUGAGGGAACACCACAAAACGCAGCCAUGCUUCCGGGCGUCAGAUGAUGAAUGGACACUGAGGGGAACACGGGCUUUUUACCGGCCAGGCAGAGCUGAGCUUGGAGUACACAUUCAAAGGAAACACAAACGAAAGACUUAGAAGACAGAAAAAGAGUUUCAUGAUUUUCACCGACACAUAUUCCGGA